This 99-nucleotide transfer RNA is filed under the name Streptomyces sp. ADI93-02. Its description in RNAcentral is "tRNA-Gly". Lineage: Bacteria; Bacillati; Actinomycetota; Actinomycetes; Kitasatosporales; Streptomycetaceae. The record is from RNAcentral.
GUUCUCCUUAUCGGACGCGGAACUGCCGUGUCCGGUUGCCGGCCGAGCGAUUACGGUGCCUUCAUGCCACAGCAGACGUUCGGUUCGUACGAAGAGUUC